This 401-nucleotide ribosomal RNA is filed under the name uncultured bacterium. Its description in RNAcentral is "bacterial SSU rRNA". It matches the Rfam family "Bacterial small subunit ribosomal RNA", at positions 30 to 430 of the family's 1533-position model. The record is from RNAcentral.
AUUGAACGCUGGCGGCAUGCCUUACACAUGCAAGUCGAACGGCAGCACGGGGGCAACCCUGGUGGCGAGUGGCGAACGGGUGAGUAAUAUAUCGGAACGUACCCUGGAGUGGGGGAUAACGUAGCGAAAGUUACGCUAAUACCGCAUACGAUCUAAGGAUGAAAGUGGGGGAUCGCAAGACCUCAUGCUCCUGGAGCGGCCGAUAUCUGAUUAGCUAGUUGGUGGGGUAAAGGCCUACCAAGGCAUCGAUCAGUAGCUGGUCUGAGAGGACGACCAGCCACACUGGGACUGAGACACGGCCCAGACUCCUACGGGAGGCAGCAGUGGGGAAUUUUGGACAAUGGGGGCAACCCUGAUCCAGCAAUGCCGCGUGAGUGAAGAAGGCCUUCGGGUUGGUAAAG